This 1458-nucleotide long non-coding RNA is filed under the name Malus domestica (apple). RNAcentral's name for it is "long non-coding RNA (MDOM_LNC003460)". The record is from RNAcentral. Lineage: Eukaryota; Viridiplantae; Streptophyta; Magnoliopsida; Rosales; Rosaceae.
AACGUUUUGAGAAAUGUUUGGAUUUGGAAAAGAAUUGUUUUACUGACCCACUCAAUUUUGGUUUUGCGCCCCUCCAGGUUCAGGAAUCACAAAGGUGUGGUGACUACGAGGAAUUCGACGGUGUUCUGACAGAAUGGACAAAAUUAGGACUCACCUUCGGGUGUAUCAACUUAUAAAUUGUAUCUUAAAGCUUCCGUACUGUGCAAAUGGUUACGUCACUCUCACGUGACGGCCAGCAUGCCCUCCUUCGGGACGGGGUGUGUCAUAGUGAAUAGUACACAGGAAAGGUAAAAAUAUGAUUUUUCGUUAAAAGUGAAUAGUACCGAAAGUGUUUCGUUAAAACUAUCUUAAAUUAAACUACUUUUUUCAUCCAAUUUUUCAAAAAUCCAAAAUUAGCCCUGGGCUGCAGCUUACUCAAGCCAGCUAUGACCUUGAUCCUAUGCUCUUUAAAUUGCAAUUUCUAGACUGCCCCAAAUAACAACCCCAAUGGUGUUUUGGUAAUUCAGCCAGUAUAAAUAGUCAAUUCUCGUUUAUUUCUUUCUUUUUUUGCUCUUUUUUUCUUCUCCUUUUUUUCUUGUGCCUCUUCCUUUGCAAGUCCUCGAGAUUUCAACUUCCUCUCCACAUCCAUGAAAGCUCAACUCUCUCGCUAAAAUGCUUCUGUCAUUCUCUCUCUCUCUCUCUCUCUCUCUCCCCAUUUUCUUUAAUUAAUAUAUAUUCUGUAUUUCUUUUUCUUUCUUUGAUAUUCUUGUUUUCUUUGAAAAAAUAGUUGACAAUCGAGGUUAAUGCAAAAGGCGCAUUUACCCAGGUUCAUUUUUCUCACGUGAGUUUUAACGUGAUCAACUUCUUCCAUGGCCAUGGAGGUUUUAGAUAGUUUAUGAGCAAAUAUUCUCUAUCUUCCAAUCAUUCUUUAGGAAAACUAAUGAAAAUAACUUGAAAUUUUUGAGUUUUAAUGAUAAGAACAAAAUAAAUGAUAAAGUGAAUAGUAUCAAGAUUGACUUUUUAGUGUAAAAAUAUGUUUUUUCGUUAAAAUGAACAGUACCGGAAGCUUUUCGUUAAAAUUCCCACAGUCUUUUGCAUGCUUUACUCUUGAGCCUCUUUCUGUUCUUAUUUUGACAGUUUGUUUUUACUGUUUAAUAUAUAUUACUCAAUCUUGAUGUUCUUAUUUAUAUUUCUUUUAAUUAUUACUUAGUAGUUAUUUAGUUGAUUUACUUGGGUUUCUUUAAUUUUGCUCAUUUUUCUUUAAUGCUUGAUACUAAAAGUAUGAUUCAUUUGUGAUGAACAAUGCAUAUAAUUAUUAGAUUUAGAGAGCUUAUCGGCACCAAAAUUGACAAUGUUCUGGUUUUUCGGGUUACUACUCUUUUUCGUGUUUGGUUGUUGGUUGAUUAGUCCAUUUGAUAUGAUCAACAACAAACAACAACAACAACAACAAAGCUUUUUCCCACUAAGUGGGGUCGGCUA